UGCACCAGUUUGUGUACUGGGCCUCUAGAAAAAGAUAAAAAUGGUACACCUGUUUGAGCACUUAUGAAUGGGCUUGCAGGACUGGAAGUUGCUCUGGUGAGUCAUUGAAGCCCAGGACCUUCUUAUCUCCCUGGUGUCCUGCCCAGUGAUGAAGAGACCCAGACUCCAGGUUCUCCUCUGCGGACUGGAUUCCCUUCCUCUGCUGGAGAGAAGUGAGUGGCCACGCACACAUACGGUUGCUGCCUGUAUCAGAUGCAGGACUGGCCAGCAUCGUUCUUACAAGCUGCCCAACACAAUCAUAUCUGAAUCAUUCAGUGUCUCUCCUCCAAGCUUGGCUCUAGCGGAAUUUUUGAACAGAUUGAGAAGUGACCACAUGAUGGCAGUAUAAAGCUGUUGAUGUACUCAUAAAGUUGGCAAACUGCAGAGCUCCAGGGCGUCAAAAUCUGCAUUCUUCUGUUUUUGUGAAUGUCAGAAAAUAAAAAUUGAU
Long non-coding RNA from Eptesicus fuscus (big brown bat), 487 nucleotides. RefSeq lists it as uncharacterized. The record is from RefSeq and is a predicted model, not a curated record. Lineage: Eukaryota; Metazoa; Chordata; Mammalia; Chiroptera; Vespertilionidae. The transcript has 3 exons.